Molecule: ribosomal RNA, 385 nt
Filed under: uncultured bacterium
Lineage: Bacteria
Description: bacterial SSU rRNA
Rfam family: Bacterial small subunit ribosomal RNA
Source: RNAcentral
AUUGAACGCUGGCGGCAUGCUUUACACAUGCAAGUCGAACGGCAGCACGGGGGCAACCCUGGUGGCGAGUGGCGAACGGGUGAGUAACACAUCGGAACGUGUCCAGUUGUGGGGGAUAACCCAUCGAAAGGUGGGCUAAUACCGCAUGAGCUGGCGACAGGAAAGCAGGGGACCCGCAAGGGCCUUGUGCGAUUGGAGCGGCCGAUGUCCGAUUAGCUAGUUGGUGGGGAAAGGCCUACCAAGGCUUCGAUCGGUAGCUGGUCUGAGAGGAUGAUCAGCCACACUGGGACUGAGACACGGCCCAGACUCCUACGGGAGGCAGCAGUGGGGAAUUUUGGACAAUGGGGGCAACCCUGAUCCAGCCAUGCCGCGUGAGUGAAGAAGG